Molecule: ribosomal RNA, 460 nt
Filed under: uncultured bacterium
Lineage: Bacteria
Description: partial 16S ribosomal RNA
Rfam family: Bacterial small subunit ribosomal RNA
Source: RNAcentral
CCUACGGGAGGCAGCAGUGAGGAAUAUUGGUCAAUGGGCGCAAGCCUGAACCAGCCAUGCCGCGUGAAGGAUGACGGCUCUAUGGGUUGUAAACUUCUUUUAUACAGGAAUAAAGUAAGAUACGUGUUCCUUCUUGAAAGUACCUUAUGAAUAAGGAUCGGCUAACUCCGUGCCAUCAGCCGCGGUAAUACGGAGGAUCCGAGCGUUGUCCGGAUUUAUUGGGUUUAAAGGGAGCGUAGAAGGUUUGUUGAGUUAGUUGUGAAACUUGGCGGCUCAACGGUAGAAGUGCAAUUGAUACUGGCAGUCUAGAGUACAGGUGAGGUAGGCGGAAUUCGUGGUGUAGUGGUGAAAGGCGUAGAUAUCACGAAGAACUCCGAUUGCGAAGGCAGCUUACUAAACUGCCACUGACGUUGAGGCACGAAAGUGUGGGGAGCAAACAGGAUUAGAUACCCGUGUAGUC